AUUGAACGCUGGCGGAAUGCUUUACACAUGCAAGUCGAACGGCAGCACGGACUUCGGUCUGGUGGCGAGUGGCGAACGGGUGAGUAAUGUAUCGGAACGUGCCCAGUCGUGGGGGAUAACGUAGUGAAAAUUACGCUAAUACCGCAUACGAUCUAUGGAUGAAAGCGGGGGAUCGCAAGACCUCGCGCGAUUGGAGCGGCCGAUAUCAGAUUAGGUAGUUGGUGGGGUAAAGGCCCACCAAGCCAACGAUCUGUAGCUGGUCUGAGAGGACGGCCAGCAAGACUGGAACUGAGACACGGGCCAGACUCCUACGUGAGGCAGCAGUGGGGAAUUUUGGACAAUGGGCGAAAGCCUGAUCCAGCCAUUCCGCGUGCAGGAUGAAGGCCCUCGGGUUGUAAACUGCUUUUGUACAGAACGAAAAGGUUUCUACUAAUACUAGGAGCUCAUGACGGUACUGUAAGAAUAAGCACCGGCUAACUACGUGCCAGCCGCCGCAGUAA
RNAcentral lists this ribosomal RNA (500 nucleotides) under uncultured bacterium. Its description in RNAcentral is "partial 16S ribosomal RNA". It matches the Rfam family "Bacterial small subunit ribosomal RNA", at positions 30 to 523 of the family's 1533-position model. The record is from RNAcentral.